Non-coding RNA from Pelobates cultripes (western spadefoot toad), 157 nucleotides. The record is from the annotation of a GenBank genome assembly. Lineage: Eukaryota; Metazoa; Chordata; Amphibia; Anura; Pelobatidae.
GCAAACACAUUCCAGCCAGUCAGCAGCAGACCCUCCCUCCCAGACCCUCCCACCUCCUGGACAGCAUCCAUUGUGAAGCUGCAUUCUUAGUGAGCUGUCCAGGAGGUGGGAGGGUCUGGGAGGGAGGGUCUGCUGCUGAUUGGCUGGAAUGUAUCUG